UCAUAUUCAAAGAGUCAGACUUGGAGUCAGCUUUAUUGUCAAUUUCUUCACAUGUACUUGACAUACAAAGGAAUCGAAAUUACGUUUCUCACUAUCCCUAUGCGUUUAACAUGGACACCAGUAAAAAGUGCAAGUGCACAACAAGACAAAUCCUAAGUUAAUAAAUAAAUAAAUAAAAUGCAGUAGCUAAAAUUCAAAUAUAAAUGUAAAUAUAACAGUAGCAGCAGGUGUGUGCAAUUUGCAUAUUUGUGCAGAGUCUCAGCUUGGAAGGGGGGAGGGAGAGUCCAAUAUUCCUAGACUCCUCCUGCCAGCCUGAUGUUCCUUCUGGCUGGGGCUGAGAGUCGGGAGGGAAGAGAGUUCAGCAGCCUCAC
Molecule: long non-coding RNA, 371 nt
Organism: Salarias fasciatus (jewelled blenny)
Lineage: Eukaryota; Metazoa; Chordata; Actinopteri; Blenniiformes; Blenniidae
Exons: 3
Source: RefSeq, a predicted model, not a curated record